RNAcentral lists this ribosomal RNA (254 nucleotides) under uncultured bacterium. Its description in RNAcentral is "partial 16S ribosomal RNA". It matches the Rfam family "Bacterial small subunit ribosomal RNA", at positions 524 to 776 of the family's 1533-position model. The record is from RNAcentral.
UACGUAGGGGGCGAGCGUUGUCCGGAUUUAUUGGGCGUAAAGAGCUCGUAGGCGGUUUGGCAUGUCGGGUGUGAAAUCCCUGGGCUCAACUCAGAGAGGCCACUCGAUACUGCUAUGACUAGAGUCCGGUAGGGGACCAUGGAAUUCCUGGUGUAGCGGUGAAAUGCGCAGAUAUCAGGAGGAACACCGGUGGCGAAGGCGGUGGUCUGGGCCGGCACUGACGCUGAGGAGCGAAAGCGUGGGGAGCGAACAGG